Molecule: ribosomal RNA, 864 nt
Filed under: uncultured bacterium
Lineage: Bacteria
Description: bacterial SSU rRNA
Rfam family: Bacterial small subunit ribosomal RNA
Source: RNAcentral
AAAACUUUUCAGCUAGAGUAUGAUAGAGGAAAGCAGAAUUUCUAGUGUAGAGGUGAAAUUCGUAGAUAUUAGAAAGAAUACCAAUUGCGAAGGCAGCUUUCUGGAUCAUUACUGACACUGAGGAACGAAAGCAUGGGUAGCGAAGAGGAUUAGAUACCCUCGUAGUCCAUGCCGUAAACGAUGUGUGUUAGACGUUGGAAAUUUAUUUUCAGUGUCGCAGCGAAAGCGAUAAACACACCGCCUGGGGAGUACGACCGCAAGGUUAAAACUCAAAUGAAUUGACGGGGACCCGCACAAGUAGUGGAGCAUGUGGUUUAAUUCGAAGAUACGCGCAGAACCUUACCAACACUUGACAUGUUCGUCGCGACUCUAAGAGAUUAGAGUUUUCGGUUCGGCCGGACGAAACACAGGUGCUGCAUGGCUGUCGUCAGCUCGUGUCGUGAGGUGUCAGGUUAAGUCCUAUAACGAGCGCAACCCCUGUGGUUAGUUGCCAUCAUUAAGUUGGGCACUCUGAAAGAACUGCCAGUGAUAAGCUGGAGGAAGGUGGGGAUGACGUCAAGUCCUCAUGGCCCUUACGUGUUGGGCUACACACGUGCUACAAUGGUAUCUACAACAGGAAGCAAGACUGCGAAGUUAAGCAAAUCCCUAAAAGAUACCUCAGUUCGGAUUGCACUCUGCAACUCGAGUGCAUGAAGCUGGAAUUACUAGUAAUCGUGGAUCAGCGUGCCACGGUGAAUGCGUUCCCGGGUCUUGUACACACCGCCCGUCACACCAUGGGAGUUGGUUCUACCUUAAGGCAAGGUUUCAAACCCUUGACCACGGUAUAGUCAGCGACUGGGGUGAAGUCGUAACAAGGUAACCGUA